AUUAUCUCCACUGCUUGUCAAGCCAACAAGACUAAUGCAGGCAGGGAGGAUGAAAAUCAAAACAACUAAAACUCUAAAGGCUGCAGUCUCAUCACCCUUUAAUCCAUAUACAGCACUUUGGAGAAAACAGUUCAAUCCACAGCAUGGGAGUAGACUCAAGAGAGCUUCCUGAGGCCAAAGAUGCUUUUUGGCUUUUCCCAGACCUAGGUCCCACUUUCAGAACUACAGUGAGUAUGGAUUUACAGAACUAAGCCAAAUUCUAAGAAAGCAAAAUGCUGUACCAGUGGAAGGUCACCUCCUGCUGCUGUUACCGUGAUCCACCACCAAAGAGACUGAACGCUAGAAGACAGGAAAAAUCCAAAAUAGGACACGCAAUGAAGACAAAACAUCGACCAAGAAACAAAUCCAUUCCCAUUUCACGACAGCGCAGCGACCCCCUGCCCCGGCAUCACGCUACUUCAUGCAGAAAUGGCAAAAGUGAAAACAACAGCUGUGCACUCUGUCUCUGACAGCCCUGGGCUCGAGUUCCUUUCAGAAAAGCAUAUUAGUAUUAAUAAAGUUCAACUGAGUGUUCA
This 575-nucleotide long non-coding RNA is filed under the name Astyanax mexicanus (Mexican tetra). RNAcentral describes it as "lncRNA (ENSAMXG00005022486.1)". Lineage: Eukaryota; Metazoa; Chordata; Actinopteri; Characiformes; Acestrorhamphidae. The record is from RNAcentral.